RNAcentral lists this ribosomal RNA (290 nucleotides) under Vibrio parahaemolyticus. Its description in RNAcentral is "partial 16S ribosomal RNA". It matches the Rfam family "Bacterial small subunit ribosomal RNA", at positions 69 to 359 of the family's 1533-position model. The record is from RNAcentral. Lineage: Bacteria; Pseudomonadati; Pseudomonadota; Gammaproteobacteria; Vibrionales; Vibrionaceae.
GAACCUUCGGGGGACGAUAACGGCGUCGAGCGGCGGACGGGUGAGUAAUGCCUAGGAAAUUGCCCUGAUGUGGGGGAUAACCAUUGGAAACGAUGGCUAAUACCGCAUGAUGCCUACGGGCCAAAGAGGGGGACCUUCGGGCCUCUCGCGUCAGGAUAUGCCUAGGUGGGAUUAGCUAGUUGGUGAGGUAAGGGCUCACCAAGGCGACGAUCCCUAGCUGGUCUGAGAGGAUGAUCAGCCACACUGGAACUGAGACACGGUCCAGACUCCUACGGGAGGCAGCAGUGGGG